This 608-nucleotide ribosomal RNA is filed under the name uncultured bacterium. RNAcentral's name for it is "bacterial SSU rRNA". It matches the Rfam family "Bacterial small subunit ribosomal RNA", at positions 8 to 627 of the family's 1533-position model. The record is from RNAcentral.
AGAGUUUGAUCAUGGCUCAGAGUGAACGCUGGCGGCGUGCUUAACACAUGCAAGUCGAACGAGAACGGGUUAUAGCUUGCUAUAACUGUCAGCUAAGUGGCGGACGGGUGAGUAAUGUAUAGUUAAUCUGCCCCCUAGAGAGGGAUAACUACUGGAAACGGUAGCUAAUACCUCAUACUCCUUUUCUCUUAAUGAGAAUUGGGAAAUGUCUUUUCGCUAGGGGAUGAGACUAUAUGGUAUCAGGUAGUUGGUGGGGUAAGAGCCUACCAAGCCUAUGACACCUAGCUGGUCUGAGAGGAUGAUCAGCCACACUGGAACCGAGACACGGUCCAGACUCCUACGGGAGGCAGCAGUGGGGAAUAUUGCACAAUGGAGGAAACUCUGAUGCAGCAACGCCGCGUGGAGGAUGACGCAUUUCGGUGUGUAAACUCCUUUUAUAUGGGAAGAUAAUGACGGUACCAUAUGAAUAAGCACCGGCUAACUCCGUGCCAGCAGCCGCGGUAAUACGGAGGGUGCAAGCGUUACUCGGAAUCACUGGGCGUAAAGCGCGCGCAGGCGGCUUGAUAAGUUGGAUGUGAAAGCCUACGGCUCAACCGUAGAACUGCAUC